This 646-nucleotide long non-coding RNA is filed under the name Homo sapiens (human). RNAcentral describes it as "HSALNT0340962". The record is from RNAcentral. Lineage: Eukaryota; Metazoa; Chordata; Mammalia; Primates; Hominidae.
UGAGUUCUGUCCAAGUACCUAAGUCACAGUCUCAACAAUGGACAGGAUCUGUGCAUGACAGCCCCAACCUCAUUUGCAAGCAGUGUCCUAAUAGGGGACACACAGCCUCACAAGGGUGUUUGAUCUUGAUUCAAAAAUCACCGUCUUACCCGUGAUCUGGAUCCAUGUAUGAGAAUCACACAUCCAACUUUCAAUUGCCUCCAGCUCCAUGUUGUUUGAAUUAAGUGCCACAUGUGAGGCUAAGGUGAGCCCAGCGUCAACCACAAGUGUUUUCAGAUACAUUCACGAGAGGUACCUUGGGGAGUUUUAUCAAGUGAUGUGCAAAAACAAGAUUAAACCACAUUUAAUCUGAGAGCUCUUCUUCUUACCUUCUCUUUGCAUAUCGCUUCCUAUGGAAAGUGAAGGCUCUCGUCUUUCUUUACUGGUCAAAUAAACUAAAAACCUAGGCUGUGCCACUUACUGAAUUUUUGACAAAAUAUUCUCCUUGGGCCAGAAGCAGUGAUACCACUGGCAAACUAUCAAUUCAAAAACUCAAGCUUUACCCUAGAUCUUCAGAGUCAAAAUCUACAUUUUAACAAGAUCUCCUGUUAAUUGAUUUGAGAAUAAGAUGUGAGAAGUAUGCUUUUAACUCACCAUGAAGUUUCCA